UGGGGAAUUGUUCGCAAUGGGCGCAAGCCUGACGACGCAACGCCGCGUGGAGGAUGAAGACCUUCGGGUCGUAAACUCCUUUCGACCGAGAUGAAUGUCCACCGACCUAACACGUUGGUGGGGUGACAGUAUCGAGGGAAGAAGCCCCGGCUAACUCCGUGCCAGCAGCCGCGGUAAUACGGGGGGGGCAAGCGUUGUUCGGAAUUACUGGGCGUAAAGGGUUCGUAGGUGGCUGACUAAGUCAGACGUGAAAUCCCUCAGCUUAACUGGGGAACUGCGUCUGAUACUGGUCAGCUUGAGUGCAGGAGAGGAGCGCGGAAUUCCAGGUGUAGCGGUGAAAUGCGUAGAUAUCUGGAGGAACACCGGUGGCGAAGGCGGCGUUCUGGACUGCAACUGACACUGAAAAACGAAAGCCAGGGGAGCAAACGG
This 429-nucleotide ribosomal RNA is filed under the name uncultured bacterium. RNAcentral describes it as "bacterial SSU rRNA". It matches the Rfam family "Bacterial small subunit ribosomal RNA", at positions 355 to 775 of the family's 1533-position model. The record is from RNAcentral.